CAGGGAGACAACAAAAUGUUUUGAUAUAAAUUUUGUCACCUUAGGUCGAUCGGUAUCUCAGAUUUUCAUUUUUGGAAAUUUCAGUUUCUAAGUUUUUUCUAGGUCACCCAUUUUUCCUGGGCCAUUAGCUCAGGUGGUUAGAGCGCACCCCUGAUAAGGGUGAGGUCCCUGGUUCAAGUCCAGGAUGGCCCAUAUCUCUAUAUUGGGGGUAUAGCUCAGUUGGUAGAGCGCCUGCUUUGCAAGCAGGAUGUCAGCGGUUCGAGUCCGCUUACCUCCACUGAAUACCACCUAUCCAAAGAGAAGGAAUAUUUGGGAUAGAUUUUAAUCUGAAUGAAUCUAGCUUCCUAUUAUUUAAAUUAAUUAAUAAGAUGCUGGACUCAAUGAAUUUCUUAAUUCUUUGUUUUCAGAGAACCUUGACAACUGCAUAGAUUUUUUUCAAGACAAUAAGCAUCUUUUAAGAUGCAGUUUUAUUAUUGGUGCUUAUGCAUUAAUAACAAUUCUAUUGAGCUGAUGCUUCAAUUUUUUGAAGUUAUU
This 534-nucleotide transfer RNA is filed under the name uncultured Prochlorococcus sp. RNAcentral's name for it is "partial 16S-23S ribosomal RNA intergenic spacer". The stretch from base 205 to 277 matches the Rfam family "tRNA". Lineage: Bacteria; Bacillati; Cyanobacteriota; Cyanophyceae; Synechococcales; Prochlorococcaceae. The record is from RNAcentral.